This is a long non-coding RNA of Micropterus dolomieu (smallmouth bass), 366 nucleotides long. RefSeq lists it as uncharacterized. Lineage: Eukaryota; Metazoa; Chordata; Actinopteri; Centrarchiformes; Centrarchidae. The record is from RefSeq and is a predicted model, not a curated record. The transcript has 2 exons.
CCAUUUUAUUUUUGUUUCUAAAUUGGAAGUAAAAGUUACACAGACUAAACUCACUGAACUGAGGUGGAGGGAGGGAAAGAUAGGAAAAAGGCACAGAAAGACAGAGAUAAAAGAGGAGAAAGAAGAGAAACACAUAGACAUAAAGGAAGACAGAUGACAAAAGAAAAUCUUGCCUAUAUAAAAAAGGAGGUGGUUUAGUUCUUUGUGUUUUACCAACAGGACCUUGGUAUCAUUGUGCCACUCAGUUUACUUUCAACUUCAGACUCUGUUCAUCAAAGAAGAUAAAACAAUGAAAGUCAAUUUCUUUGCAUCUUCUUUUUACCCCUCCCUUUCUUGUCUUUUUCCAAUAAAUUCUCUCUUCUCUGA